RNAcentral lists this long non-coding RNA (658 nucleotides) under Sinocyclocheilus anshuiensis. Its description in RNAcentral is "lncRNA (ENSSANG00000031381.1)". The record is from RNAcentral. Lineage: Eukaryota; Metazoa; Chordata; Actinopteri; Cypriniformes; Cyprinidae.
GAAAGUGAAAGUCUUGUUGGCAAACAAACCCUCAAAUGUUCGCGGAGCUCGUGCUUAUAUUAAUAUAACACAAUAAUGGAUACAUUCACCGGGAGAACUUCAGACAGGAGGGACACGCGUACAGAGGAUCCCGUUCGCGGCAGUGAAAAGAACAAGAAAAGACAUAUCCAGAGAAUAAGGAGUCCCUUACGGUAUACCCGCCCCUAUCAGCCAAGGUUUGAAGGGAAAAACCUGCAUUCACGUUUCAGGUUUUUCAGGACUAUGGAGGAACGGCGUUUUAUACGGCGCCCAAAUUUUGCACUGAGGUACCAGAGGCAUCAUACAUAUCAGUGGUCCAGUCUACAGCUAAGGCGUAAGCCCAGAGCCUCUCCUCCUUCCAGCCAGCAGUUGCACAAAGGCCUGAACAAGAAUAGCUCCACAGCACAUAUUGAACCCGGCAAAACAGACAUUUCUCGGCCAUCCUCUGGAAACAGACCAUCACUGCCAUCCACAGUAAGAGACCAGAAACUCCUUGCUUUGUACCAUUAUGAUCAUUCUCAAAUGAAUGUUUUUGGGUCAAUACAAGUUUUACUCUGUAUUAACAAAAUAUGUUAUAUAUGUGUGUGUGUUGAAUAGGGAUGCACCGAUACCACUUUUUCCAGUACUCGCCCGAUACCGA